RNAcentral lists this ribosomal RNA (503 nucleotides) under uncultured Acidovorax sp. RNAcentral describes it as "bacterial SSU rRNA". It matches the Rfam family "Bacterial small subunit ribosomal RNA", at positions 1 to 503 of the family's 1533-position model. The record is from RNAcentral. Lineage: Bacteria; Pseudomonadati; Pseudomonadota; Betaproteobacteria; Burkholderiales; Comamonadaceae.
UUAGAGUUUUGGACCUGGCUCAGAUUGAACGCUGGCGGAAUGCUUUACACAUGCAAGUCGAACGGCAGCACGGACUUCGGUCUGGUGGCGAGUGGCGAACGGGUGAGUAAUGUAUCGGAACGUGCCCAGUCGUGGGGGAUAACGUAGUGAAAAUUACGCUAAUACCGCAUACGAUCUAUGGAUGAAAGCGGGGGAUCGCAAGACCUCGCGCGAUUGGAGCGGCCGAUAUCAGAUUAGGUAGUUGGUGGGGUAAAGGCCCACCAAGCCAACGAUCUGUAGCUGGUCUGAGAGGACGACCAGCCACACUGGAACUGAGACACGGUCCAGACUCCUACGGGAGGCAGCAGUGGGGAAUUUUGGACAAUGGGCGCAAGCCUGAUCCAGCCAUUCCGCGUGCAGGAUGAAGGCCCUCGGGUUGUAAACUGCUUUUGUACAGAACGAAAAGGUUUCUACUAAUACUAGGAGCUCAUGACGGUACUGUAAGAAUAAGCACCGGCUACUAC